RNAcentral lists this small RNA (132 nucleotides) under Klebsiella pneumoniae. RNAcentral describes it as "RtT sRNA". It matches the Rfam family "RtT RNA". Rfam says of the family: This family represents a bacterial cis-regulatory element known as RtT RNA. The exact function of RtT is unknown although it is thought that it may be involved in changing the cellular response in relation to amino acid starvation. The record is from RNAcentral. Lineage: Bacteria; Pseudomonadati; Pseudomonadota; Gammaproteobacteria; Enterobacterales; Enterobacteriaceae. RNAcentral also lists the same sequence under 1 other name.
UAUUCUGCCCCACGGGGAAGGAUGAGAAGCUUCGACCAAGGUUCGACUCGAGCGAAGCGAGAGAACGUUGCCGCAGGCAACGGCCCGAAGGGCGAGGCGCUUUAGCGCCGAGUAAUCCUUCCCCCACCAUCA